RNAcentral lists this ribosomal RNA (477 nucleotides) under uncultured Bacteroidota bacterium. Its description in RNAcentral is "bacterial SSU rRNA". It matches the Rfam family "Bacterial small subunit ribosomal RNA", at positions 28 to 505 of the family's 1533-position model. Lineage: Bacteria; Pseudomonadati; Bacteroidota. The record is from RNAcentral.
GAUGAACGCUAGCGGCAGGCCUAAUACAUGCAAGUCGAGCGGUAAGGCUCUUUCGGGAGUACACGAGCGGCGGACGGGUGCGUAACGCGUAUACAACUUGCCCUUUAACGGGGGAUAGCCUGGAGAAAUUCAGAUUAAUACCCCAUAUGAUGGUGGAACCGCAUGGUUCAGCCAUGAAAACUCCGGUGUUAAAGGAUGGGUAUGCGUGACAUUAGAUAGUUGGUGAGGUAACGGCUCACCAAGUCAACGAUGUCUAGCUGGUCUGAGAGGAUGAUCAGCCACACUGGGACUGAGACACGGCCCAGACUCCUACGGGAGGCAGCAGUAGGGAAUAUUGGACAAUGGAGGAAACUCUGAUCCAGCCAUGCCGCGUGAGGGAAGACGGUUCUCUGAAUUGUAAACCUCUUUUAGCAGGGAAUAAACCGGUGGUAUAGUCACCGUUGAAGGUACCUGCAGAAUAAGCACCGGCUAACUCCG